This is a long non-coding RNA of Lynx canadensis (Canada lynx), 722 nucleotides long. RefSeq lists it as uncharacterized. The record is from RefSeq and is a predicted model, not a curated record. The transcript has 2 exons. NCBI's taxonomy places the organism in Eukaryota, Metazoa, Chordata, Mammalia, Carnivora, Felidae.
GCAAUCUACAUGACGAGUCUGGAGAAUGAAAGGAAAAUCUUCACUGUCUUUGUGUACUCUGAUGAUUGUCACAUGCUCCUUUUUUUGUUGUUGUGGCCUGAGUGAGUCAACACUUCCCCAAAGCAUUGACUAAUCACAUGGCUUGGCCGGGUCUGAGCGGUGAAGCCACGCAAUGUAUACUGCAGGAUCCUCGAGCACUAUGUGUGUGUGCUUGCAGAAAGUGAACGGGGCCCCCAAGCCCUUCUCCAUCUAAACCAACACCUGGUGAAGCUCCUAGAGCUGACAAUUUGAUGCUCCCAAGUACUGUGGUCUCCACUGGAUCUGCGAAGACAGCAGGCUGUGCAUUUGCUUCCCUCUGGUGGUAGGUCCUGGAGUGAGCCUGGGGACUCUGUGUCUUCCUCUAACACUGGAUGAAUGGGUGCCUUCCAGCUUCACUCCCAGAGGGUUCCCAGACACCUAGCCCAGAAGCACCAUGUGCUGCACUUGCAUGGAUUUGAAGUCCUCACCCCUCAGAUGUUGCUCCUGAGGCCACAUCAGACAAAGAAAGGCAAGUGAUGGUGACACUGCGGGCCCAGAGACUGACAGGCGUUGGGAAGGAAGAGCCCGCCCACGGGACACCUCCCUGGUACUUUAGGUGAUAACCUGCAAUGCAGUCACCCCACCAAAGAGUGGUGGACGGGACUGGGGUUAAAUAAAACUUACAGAAAAGUUGGUUGAAUAUA